ACCUUUCGAACUUUUAUUUACAAGUUAACUCGUGACGCGCGUCCGCGGGCCGAGGAAGGAACAUCUGCUUCCAACACCGGUGAGUCCGCCGACGCCCGCAGGGCAGCACGGCCCGUCCGUGGGCGCGCCCGCUCCCAACCGGCCUGGGCUGCGCUUCCCCGGCUGCGACGCGUCCGCAAUCACGUGGCCGGAGUUUUAGUAAAGCUUCACGCUGGGAUCGCGCUGGAGCACCCCGGAGCAGGACCCCGGAGCAGGACCCCGGAGCAGGGGGGCGGCGGCGGGGGCUGUGCGCGCCCCGAGCCCGCUCCCCUCCGCCCGCGCGGCGUCCGCGCCGGCACCUCCAGCCCGUCUGCAGCACCCGCCGCCCGUGACGCCGCGGGAACGCAAGCGCCCCGCAGCCCCCGGCCCCGCAGCCCCGCAGCCCCCGGCCCCCCGCCCCGCAGCAGCCCGCAGCCCCCCGCCCCGCCGCGCCCCCCGCCGCGCGCGCCCGCCCGCCCUUUGUCCCGCCGCUGCCGCGCGCCCCGCGCCCCGCGCUCCCCCGCCGCGCCCGCACUCACCGCGCCGAGCAGCCCGCCGGGGCCGCGGCUCGCUGCGCCGCUCAGACAGGUGUGGGCGCCGGGAGGGCUCGCGCGGCUCCCAUGCCUGCCCCGCGGCGCGACCGAGUGCGAGCGAGCGGCGCCGGCAGCGGGCGGGUCCGCCCCCCGCGCCUCCCGAGGCCCGCCCGCCCCGCCUCCGGCCUCGGGGAAGCCGCGCGCCCGCCCCCGCCCCCGCCCCCGCGCCCGCGCCCGCCCCCGCACCGGCCCGCGCGCCCGCCCCCCCCCCCCCCCCGGGUGCCGCCGCCUUGCGGUCGCCGCGCCGGCUCCCUCCCGCCCGCCCGGGUCCCGCCGAGGGCCCGCCCGGCGCCGCGCGCACCCCCGGGGCUCGGCCGCAGCCUCCCGAGCCAGCUUCGGGCCUCCGCCGCCCGCGCUCCGCCGCCUGCUCGCCGGGGCCGCGCGCUCCCGGGGGUCGCCCCCCCCCCCCCACCCCCGCCUGCAGCCGGGGACGACGCGGGCUGUACCUGGGGCGUGGGCAGCCCCUCGGCACAUUGGAAGAGUCGCGAAGACUGUGCUUCUGGGCUUUCAGGGCAUGAGCGAGGCCCCCCCCCGGCCUCAGGUGCCUCCGAGGGACGCAGAGCUGCGCGGGGCGCGCGGGGGCGGCGGGGGCGGCGGGGCCCGGGAGCGCGGGAGGGCGGCGGGGACGGCGGGGGGCGGCGGGGCCCCGAGCGCGGGAGGGCGGCGGGGCCCCGAGCGCGGGAGGGCGGCGGGGACGGCGGGGGGCGGCGGGGCCCCGAGCGCACCGCCCCAGCCUUCCGGGGCGCACCAGCCGGUGGAGCCGCCUCCGCCAGCCCGCGCUGCCCGCCGCGACCGCGCCAUUGAAGGAUCCAGGGCCAGAGCUUUGCUCCCCUCUCCCCAGCGCCUCGGUAUUUGGAGGAAGGACGCUUACUCGGUCCCCCGUGAGCCAGCUUUACGCGUGACCCGUCGCGGUGGAGAAGUUGCAGGUGACCCCCGCGUUACAGAUCAGGAACCGCAGUUCGGAGGAUUGAUGACCUGCCCCCGGUGCACCGAGGCCACAUUUUCGGCCUGGCCCCUUAGCUGCCCUCUCCCUCCGCCAAGCCCGCUCUCAGAAAGGGAGGGAGGGAGGGAGGGUCUGCUAUACUCUUUCACACCAAGGGGCUAA
This 1716-nucleotide long non-coding RNA is filed under the name Canis lupus familiaris (dog). RNAcentral's name for it is "lncRNA (ENSCAFG00030011331.1)". The record is from RNAcentral. Lineage: Eukaryota; Metazoa; Chordata; Mammalia; Carnivora; Canidae.